GUGGGGAAUAUUGCACAAUGGGGGAAACCCUGAUGCAGCGACGCCGCGUGAAGGAAGAAGUAUCUCGGUAUGUAAACUUCUAUCAGCAGGGAAGAAAAUGACGGUACCUGACUAAGAAGCCCCGGCUAACUACGUGCCAGCAGCCGCGGUAAUACGUAGGGGGCAAGCGUUAUCCGGAUUUACUGGGUGUAAAGGGAGCGUAGACGGAGCAGCAAGUCUGAUGUGAAAGGCAGGGGCUCAACCCCUGGACUGCAUUGGAAACUGUUGAUCUUGAGUACCGGAGGGGUAAGCGGAAUUCCUAGUGUAGCGGUGAAAUGCGUAGAUAUUAGGAGGAACACCAGUGGCGAAGGCGGCUUACUGGACGGUAACUGACGUUGAGGCUCGAAAGCGUGGGGAGCAAACAGG
RNAcentral lists this ribosomal RNA (405 nucleotides) under uncultured bacterium. Its description in RNAcentral is "bacterial SSU rRNA". It matches the Rfam family "Bacterial small subunit ribosomal RNA", at positions 354 to 776 of the family's 1533-position model. The record is from RNAcentral.